Molecule: long non-coding RNA, 425 nt
Organism: Sebastes umbrosus (honeycomb rockfish)
Lineage: Eukaryota; Metazoa; Chordata; Actinopteri; Perciformes; Sebastidae
Exons: 3
Source: RefSeq, a predicted model, not a curated record
GCAACAGGAAAAACAACAGAAUCCUAGUUAAUAGUUAAUAUUACAGUAUUAAAGGGAUAGUCUGCAGAUUUGUUGUUCUACUUCAUCCAGUGACAUGAAAGUGACGUCGUCGUAGACGCGGGAGAACUACAGUGCCGCUCAAAAACUCGGAUAUUCAGCCGUAGACAAGCAGGACGAUUUUGGGACGGUUGAGUUUCCGAUUGUCGGACCAGUGGAAAGACUAACCAAGAUGGCUGUGGAUGCUGUAAAGCGCCCAGGGGAGCAACGUGGGGAUCAGUGUCUCACCCAAGGACACUUCGACAUGCAGACCUUGCGGUCAAAGGAAGACCAUUCUUCCCACUGAGCUACAGCUGCUUCAAGACAGAACAUCACGACAUCAUCUUGCCGGCACGAUGCAGUGACUGUCAGCAUCGUCUAACUAAGGU